RNAcentral lists this ribosomal RNA (253 nucleotides) under uncultured bacterium. RNAcentral's name for it is "partial 16S ribosomal RNA". It matches the Rfam family "Bacterial small subunit ribosomal RNA", at positions 524 to 776 of the family's 1533-position model. The record is from RNAcentral.
UACGGGGGGGGCAAGCGUUGUUCGGAAUUACUGGGCGUAAAGGGCGCGUAGGCGGUCAGAUAAGUCAGCUGUGAAAACCUCGGGCUUAACCCGAGGCCUGCAGUUGAAACUGUUUGGCUGGAGUGUGGGAGAGGAGAGUGGAAUUCCGAGUGUAGAGGUGAAAUUCGUAGAUAUUCGGAAGAACACCAGUGGCGAAGGCGACUUACUGGACAUCUGUUGACGCUGAGGUGCGAAAGCGUGGGGAGCAAACAGG